AGAUGGCGACCGGCGCACGGGUGAGUAACACGUAUCCAACCUGCCGAUAACUCGGGGAUAGCCUUUCGAAAGAAAGAUUAAUACCCGAUGGUAUAAUCAGACCGCAUGGUCUUGUUAUUAAAGAAUUUCGGUUAUCGAUGGGGAUGCGUUCCAUUAGGCAGUUGGUGAGGUAACGGCUCACCAAACCUUCGAUGGAUAGGGGUUCUGAGAGGGAGGUCCCCCACAUUGGAACUGAGACACGGUCCAA
This 247-nucleotide ribosomal RNA is filed under the name uncultured bacterium. RNAcentral describes it as "partial 16S ribosomal RNA". It matches the Rfam family "Bacterial small subunit ribosomal RNA", at positions 86 to 334 of the family's 1533-position model. The record is from RNAcentral.